GAUGAAGAACGUAGUGAAAUGCGAUACGUAAUGUGAAUUGCAGAAUUCAGUGAAUCAUCGAGUCUUUGAACGCACAUUGCGCCCCCUGGUAUUCCGAGGGGCAUGCCUGUCCGAGCGUCAUUGCUGCCCUCAAGCACGGCUUGUGUGUUGGGCCUCCGUCCUCCUCCCGGGGGACGGGCCCGAAAGGCAGCGGCGGCACCGCGUCCGGUCCUCGAGCGUAUGGGGCUUCGUCACCCGCUCUUGUAGGCCCGGCCGGCGCUUGCCGACACAUCAAUCUUUUUUCCAGGUUGACCUCGGAUCAGGUAGGGAUACCCGCUGAACUUAAGCAUAUCAAUAAGCGGAGGA
RNAcentral lists this unclassified non-coding RNA (345 nucleotides) under soil metagenome. RNAcentral describes it as "partial contains 5.8S ribosomal RNA, internal transcribed spacer 2, and large subunit ribosomal RNA". The stretch from base 1 to 120 matches the Rfam family "5.8S ribosomal RNA", at positions 35 to 154 of the family's 154-position model. The record is from RNAcentral.